UUAGCAAGUGACAUCGUGACACUUCCGAAACCAACCCAACCGGCAUUUUCCGUCAGCCGAGUCGCUUCUGGUCAAUUCGUAUCACAUUCUGAAGACCAUUGCUCUGUUAAUGCGAUUACUCUUUCAACCAUGUCACCUCGCUGAUAAAACUGUUCGGAGUGGAAAAAAUAAAUGAAUAAAUAACUGUCUCUCGUUUCGUAAUUCUCUGCAUCCUCUAUGUUUCUUCUCUCUUUAUUUGUUUAAUUCAUGCUCCAUAUGCAUUUUUUUAUUCACUUACUAAUGUUUAAAUAUAAUGAAACAGAAAAUAAUCAGGUCUAGUUCAAUAAACACACAAAACAAAAAUAAAUUAGCAAUAAUUUUCUCAGCAACCAAACAGAAUCAUAAACUCAACAAAUCAAAAAAAUUAACAUAAAAAAAAAUUAAUAUGUCUAUAAAAUCAUAACAAUUUACCUCGGUUUUCGUCUUGUUCUUCUUAUUUUAAGAUGAAUCCAUGGGAGCAACUGAUUUGAAUCGAUGGCAGUGGCUUGGAAAAUGGAUGAAAAUCAUAGAGGGGGCUGCUAGAUAGAGAGAAAUCGAGAGAUAAAGUGAUUUUAGGGUUUGAUCUUCUAAAUUUUAAACUGAGGGCAAAAUUGAAAAUUUGGAAAUAUUUUAAGGUUACAAAGGACAAUUCAAU
This 673-nucleotide long non-coding RNA is filed under the name Citrus sinensis (sweet orange). RNAcentral describes it as "long non-coding RNA (CSIN_LNC000570)". Lineage: Eukaryota; Viridiplantae; Streptophyta; Magnoliopsida; Sapindales; Rutaceae. The record is from RNAcentral.